CAGAGAAUAGUUUAUGAAAAAUACUAGUUUUGGGGAUUAGUGAUAGGGGUACUCUCUUUCUCUGA
RNAcentral lists this transfer RNA (65 nucleotides) under Calineuria stigmatica. Its description in RNAcentral is "tRNA-Pro". The record is from RNAcentral. Lineage: Eukaryota; Metazoa; Arthropoda; Insecta; Plecoptera; Perlidae.